AACGCACAUUGCGCCUUUUGGCAUUCCGAAAGGCAUGCCUGUUCGAGCGUCAUAAAACCCAUUUAAACUCCGACUUUGUGUUGGUGGUUUGCUAUUGAGGGAAUGAGAGAAGUAUUCUCUCCCCCUUGAAUUACAUUGGCAGAUCGUUAGUAUUUUUUGUUUCUAGCAAAGAAAAUGACGGUAGUAGUAAAUAGAUAUUAUAUUCUUCUUACCUUUUUCAUUUAUUUGAUAGGAAUAUUAUAGGUGCUAUAUGAUUCUUGCCAUAAUAAUCAAUCUACAUUUUUUUUUUUUUUUUUGACCUCGAAUCAGGUAGGGAUACCCGCUGAACUUAA
RNAcentral lists this unclassified non-coding RNA (332 nucleotides) under uncultured Erysiphales. RNAcentral describes it as "sequence contains 5.8S rRNA gene, ITS2, 28S rRNA gene". The record is from RNAcentral. Lineage: Eukaryota; Fungi; Ascomycota; Leotiomycetes.